This 119-nucleotide ribosomal RNA is filed under the name Vitis vinifera (wine grape). The record is from RNAcentral. Lineage: Eukaryota; Viridiplantae; Streptophyta; Magnoliopsida; Vitales; Vitaceae.
GAGUGCGAUCAUACCAACACUAAUAUACCGGAUCCCAUAAGAACUCCGUAGUCAAGCGUGCUUGGGCGAGAGUAGUACAGGGAUGGGUGACCUCCUGGGAAGUCCUUGUGUUGCACCCC